Molecule: long non-coding RNA, 334 nt
Filed under: Homo sapiens (human)
Lineage: Eukaryota; Metazoa; Chordata; Mammalia; Primates; Hominidae
Description: HSALNT0339431
Source: RNAcentral
UCUGGAUUCCAUUCCGUCUUCCUUGAGGGCCCCACCCUCAUCCCGGCACGUGAUGACGUAGGACGUAAGGACGCCCCCCCCCGCCGGUAGCCAUCUUCGUGCAUAGGCAAACUUAUUGUAGCUAGACUGUACAAAGUAUAUCAAGAUAUGCCAAAUAUUGAGCUUAACUUCACCUGUUUGAGAGACGGUGUUUCUUUUAGCUUGCAACACCAUGAAAAAAUUACUGAGACACUAGGAAUGCUGUGAACUGAGAAAGUUUGGGACCUUUGGCAUAACUAAAUCCUUCAUUUAACAGAUGGAGUCUCAGUCUGUCACUAAGGCUGGAGUGCAGUGG